AUUCCUACAAUAGAAAUUGUAGACCCAAUUCUUGAUACUACGUUUCAUGAUGUAUAUGCGUCUGGGUAGUCUGAGUAUCGUCGAGGUAUUCCUGCUAAUCCUAGGAAGUGUUGAGGAAAGAAUGUUAAAUUUACUCCAA
Schistocerca gregaria is the source of this 139-nucleotide long non-coding RNA. RefSeq lists it as uncharacterized. Lineage: Eukaryota; Metazoa; Arthropoda; Insecta; Orthoptera; Acrididae. The record is from RefSeq and is a predicted model, not a curated record. The transcript is spliced from 2 exons.